AAAAAAAUAAGAAAAAUGGAAAGAGAGUCCCAUUUUAACAGAAAACUCUAAGACCUGAAACAAUAGAGCAAACGCGAAGUCACUGAAGAUUCCACGCCAUAGUCAGCCUUUUAUCUCUCUGGCGCGAUUUCUCCUCUCUAGGCACCUCUGGAUUUAAUUUCCUUCUCUUGUUUUUACACAACAAUUUUAUUAAGAGGCUGACUUUUUCUUUAAUCGAUACCUGAUCUGUGUCUAUUGAUUCUCAAUUGCUGCACAGCCCCCGAUUCUUUGAUUUCCUAUUUGGUGCCAAUUAGGGCUUAGGUUAGGGUUUGAUUUUGAGAGAGAGAGAGAGAG
Molecule: unclassified non-coding RNA, 333 nt
Filed under: Hevea brasiliensis (rubber tree)
Lineage: Eukaryota; Viridiplantae; Streptophyta; Magnoliopsida; Malpighiales; Euphorbiaceae
Source: RNAcentral